CCUACGGGAGGCAGCAGUGAGGAAUAUUGGUCAAUGGAGGCAACUCUGAACCAGCCAAGUAGCGUGCAGGAUGACGGCCCUAUGGGUUGUAAACUGCUUUUAUGCGGGGAUAAACUGAGUCACGUGAGGCUUAUUGCAGGUACAGCAUGAAUAAGGACCGGCUAAUUCCGUGCCAGCCGCCGCGGUAAUACGGAAGGUCCGGGCGUUAUUCGGCUUUAUUGGGGUUAAAGGGAGCGCAGGCCGCAUCUUAAGCGGAGUGUGAAAUGCCGGCGCUCAACCGUGGCACUGCAGCGCGAACUGGCAAACUGGAGUGUGUGAGAGGAUAGUGGAAUUCGAGGUGUAGGAGUGAAAUGCGUAGAUAUCGGGAGGAACACCAGUGGCGAAGGCGACCAACUGGAACAUAACUGACGCUGAGGAGCGAAAGUGUGGGUAGCAAACAGGAUUAGAUACCCGAGUAGUC
Molecule: ribosomal RNA, 460 nt
Filed under: uncultured bacterium
Lineage: Bacteria
Description: partial 16S ribosomal RNA
Rfam family: Bacterial small subunit ribosomal RNA
Source: RNAcentral